UCCGAUAUGGUGUAUCGGCUAGCAUCGCUCGCUUUCAUCAUCCCGUUGCGGACAGAAGGCUUCCGAGCAGAGCCGGGUUCGACUCCCGGUGUCGGAA
Molecule: non-coding RNA, 97 nt
Organism: Oleoguttula sp. CCFEE 5521
Lineage: Eukaryota; Fungi; Ascomycota; Dothideomycetes; Mycosphaerellales; Teratosphaeriaceae
Source: the annotation of a GenBank genome assembly